GGUUGCGAUCAUACCAGCACUAAUGCACCGGAUCCCAUAAGAACUCCGCAGUCAAGCGAACUUGGGCGAGAGUAGUACUAGGAUGGGUGACCCCCUGGGAAGUCCUCGUGUUGCAACCC
RNAcentral lists this ribosomal RNA (119 nucleotides) under Helianthus annuus (common sunflower). The record is from RNAcentral. Lineage: Eukaryota; Viridiplantae; Streptophyta; Magnoliopsida; Asterales; Asteraceae.